RNAcentral lists this ribosomal RNA (491 nucleotides) under uncultured bacterium. RNAcentral describes it as "partial 16S ribosomal RNA". It matches the Rfam family "Bacterial small subunit ribosomal RNA", at positions 29 to 507 of the family's 1533-position model. The record is from RNAcentral.
GUGAACGCUGGCGGUAGGCCUAACACAUGCAAGUCGAACGGCAGCACAGUAAGAGCUUGCUCUUACGGGUGGCGAGUGGCGGACGGGUGAGGAAUACAUCGGAAUCUACUUUUUCGUGGGGGAUAACGUAGGGAAACUUACGCUAAUACCGCAUACGACCUACGGGUGAAAGCAGGGGAUCUUCGGACCUUGCGCGAUUGAAUGAGCCGAUGUCGGAUUAGCUAGUUGGCGGGGUAAAGGCCCACCAAGGUGACGAUCCGUAGCUGGUCUGAGAGGAUGAUCAGCCACACUGGAACUGAGACACGGCCCAGACUCCUACGGGAGGCAGCAGUGGGGAAUAUUGGACAAAGGGCGCAAGCCUGAUCCAGCCAUACCGCGUGGGUGAAGAAGGCCUUCGGGUUGUAAAGCCCUUUUGUUGGGAAAGAAAAGCAGCAGGUUAAUACCCCGCUGUUCUGACGGUACCCAAAGAAUAAGCACCGGCUAACUUCGUG